Long non-coding RNA from Pyrus x bretschneideri (Chinese white pear), 1407 nucleotides. RefSeq lists it as uncharacterized. The record is from RefSeq and is a predicted model, not a curated record. The transcript has 2 exons. NCBI's taxonomy places the organism in Eukaryota, Viridiplantae, Streptophyta, Magnoliopsida, Rosales, Rosaceae.
UCAUAUUCUUCAUAGAGAGGUAUUCAUUGAUCUUCCAUGUAAUUGAGAAUUGUAGCCUUAGCCAUCUCAUUAUCUUCUACCCAUUUACUAUAAACUCGAGAGGGCCCAAGGGGUCUUUCGUCCUUAAUAGUGUACAAAGUCUUGUCAUGGGUUAAAAGAUAAGUGAUCAUUCUCUUCCAUAUUCGAUAAUUAACAUUAUUCAACCUCUCUAUUUUAAAAACUUCGGAUGUGGAAGAUUUAGUAGCCAUAACUCAAAAAAUUACAAAACAAACACAAUACUUAAUACAAACUUAAAUACAAAUACUACUAGUGUACUUUUAAUUAUUACAAGCCACAAAUACUAAAUGUUCUUAAUAAAUUAAUGACUAAAAAAAUAAAAUAAAAUAAAAAAUAGAGAUUUAUUUAUUCCCACUCAAAGAAACUUUGUCUAAUUAGUUAAAAGCGAGUAUUUGUUCAAACGAUCACGUCGACAGAAGGUUUUCAUACUUGUCUACUUGGGCAGGUGGGAUCAAUUCUUCCUCUCUUUUCUUGAUUGUGACUUUGUGAUGGACACCAACAGUUUUCCUCUUCACAUACACUGUCAGAGUGCAAAGAACCAAAAGAACUGUUGCCUUUGAUUUCAUCCCCACGUGAUGCCUUCGAAAUAUCACCAAAACUUUUGACUUUUGUGUAGUCUCCACGUGAAGCCUCCCCAAAAAUAAAUUCAACUUUUUUAUUUUCAAAACAAUCUUCUUCUUCUUUAUUUUCAAAACAAUUCCUCUGAGAGAGAAAACCGGUUCCUCUGUCUGCUUUCUCUGGAAAAAAUUUGUUCCGCAGCCUGGCGGAUAAUCUUGAACGGUAGAGACAAUUCUCCUUGGAGGAUAACGGUGUCGGCGGUAUUAUGUAUUACCGCGAAAGGACGAGAUCACGGUUGAACGACGAGACCACGGGGAAGAACACCACCACGCUGUUGCCUGCUUUGGUUCAGUGGGUUGCCGUGGCGAGUCUGGAGCAAGGCGCGAAAAUCGCGGGUUCAGUCUCAGAUUUGUAGCAGUCAGUGAAGGACUACGAAUCAAUCGCUAUGUGGCAGUGUAGCUAAAUGAUACCAACCAGCUGCAGCAACAGGAGCACCAAUGCCCGUUUUCUCUGCUUGUGAUUCUCCUUCAUAAUUCUUCCAGCUGUGGAUGAAGGUGUGCUGUUUACAUCUUGAACUGGCUAGGAUCCAUGCCUCCAAUAAGAAAUAUCUUUUUGCUUCCCAAUCGAGGUUGUAAUUUUUUUAUACACGUGGUGGCCCCUUUUGUAGCUAAAAUUGUCGGCUCUCAUAGAUGGGACUGUUAUGCAUCAUAUUGGUUGCUUAAUGUAAUAUCAUUUAAUGUAAACGUUUCGAUUCGAAUUUAAUAAAAUUUUUGCCGAUUGCCCCAAAAAAAA